GGAUGCGAUCAUACCAGCACUAAUGCACCGGAUCCCAUCAGAACUCCGCAGGUAAGCGUGCUUGGGCGAGAGUAGUACUAGGAUGGGUGACCUCUUGGGAAGUCCUCGUGUUGCAUCCC
This 119-nucleotide ribosomal RNA is filed under the name Arabidopsis lyrata subsp. lyrata. The record is from RNAcentral. Lineage: Eukaryota; Viridiplantae; Streptophyta; Magnoliopsida; Brassicales; Brassicaceae.